RNAcentral lists this microRNA precursor (52 nucleotides) under Ciona intestinalis (vase tunicate). RNAcentral describes it as "Cin-Mir-92-o72_pre stem-loop". The record is from RNAcentral. Lineage: Eukaryota; Metazoa; Chordata; Ascidiacea; Phlebobranchia; Cionidae.
CGGCUGGUACAAGAGCACGAUCGAUUAGGAUAUUGCACUUGUCCCGGUCUUA